GACAACCAGCCUUGCUCACGAAGCGUCAGCCGUAUCCUUUCUGUGUGCAGUGGGGUGUGGGUUGUGUGGAGCCGCGGUGUCUGUGGAAUUCACAGGCUGGGGCCGGAAUCCAUGGCCCCCGUCGCCGCUGCCACCCCCCAGGUGCUGGGGUGACCUGAUCCAGGGUUGGGGUCUAAGCUGCUGGGGGGUUGGAGUCUUGGGCUCUGGCCCACGUCCGCCUCUGAUUGGUUCUACCACCUGAGCCGGUCACUGACCCUCCAUGGGCCUCAGCUUACCCUAUGGUAAAGUGAGAACUAGGGGGUCAGACUCCUUGAUCACCAAGAUCUCUGACCACAGCCAAGGCUAAGGGAAGCGCAGGAAAACGUGGGGCUCGUCCAAAUUCCCAGCCUCUCUCUGCCCCCUGGUGGACGCCGGCAGCCUAGCACCCGGGGGGAGAUGACCCCGACACUGUGUGACCUCUGCCAAGGCACCCAUCCCUCUGAGCCCCAGUUCCCACCGGUUACAUAGGAAUGAUUAUAAUACCCACCUCUUUGGGCAAUUGUGAGGAGGCAAGGAGAUAAUACAUGCAAAGUGCUUGGAUGGGAUGGGUACUAGCCACUCAACAGAAGGCAGAUCCUAGAAUGGGGAUGGCAAGUCCUGUCAUCAGUGAAGAAUGUAAUGACUGCAAGCUUAGAUGACAUGUCUGUUACUGGAAACCAGAGUUGUUUACUUAAGCUGUAAAUGAACUCAUAGUCCCUGGGAUAAUUAUCUCACCUCUGGAUAAAUAAACUCAACAGCCUUAUGUAUUUUAUUAAUUUUUCUUAAAAAAAAGCUUAAAAUAUUUUUCCUUUGAUUUGUUCUCUUUCUUUGGUUUCUGACUUUAUUAUGUCCUUUCUUUCUGCUUAGGCAUUUGUUUUAUUGCUCUUUUUUCACCAACUCAAACUGAAUGGUCACCUUAACAGUUUUAUUGAGAUCCAUUAUUUAUUCUUCUCCAUCUUGUUCUGUGUUCCUGGAAGCCAACCUUUAUAAGCUGCAGGAAAUGGAUUUCCUACUCUCCACCUUCUGAUUGGGCUUGACCAACGGGGAGCACUGGCAGAAGACAAGCAUGGGAGGAAAAAGAGAUCAGGGCUGGAGUGCAGUGGCGUGAUCUCGGCUAGCUACAACCUCC
Molecule: long non-coding RNA, 1147 nt
Filed under: Homo sapiens (human)
Lineage: Eukaryota; Metazoa; Chordata; Mammalia; Primates; Hominidae
Description: HSALNT0291589
Source: RNAcentral